GUUUCACCCUGAACCUCUCUCAGCAUCCAGAAAUACCCCGUCUAGGUGUUUAAACAACAUUCUUCCUCUCACACUCCUGCCCCAUUCUCAACUCAAGCUUUUCCACAUUUUCUCCUUACCCCUAAACUUCCCCUCCAAGCUUUUCUGGACUUUUUACCUCUGUACUCUGCGGGAGCUGGUACACAGCAGCAGGAAACAUAUUUAGGACAGUGGCACUGGGGCCUCUCUGGAAAAUGGAAUGAGGUUUACCCUGGUGGGAAGAGAAAAAGGGCCUUCCCUCCAAAGGGAACAAGGAACCAAGCACCACUGGGACUAUUCUUGCAUCGGUUGCCUUUGAUGGGUCCUUUCGGUGAACCUAUGGUGGUGCUUCUGGUGCAUCUCGCUGUCAUCAUGGCUGCAGGAGUCAGGGCUGGGGUUAAGAAUUUGUCUGGAAUUGGGUUUGCCAUUUUCCAGGUUGGGGGUCAGGCCUCUGGACAAAACCAGGGCUUAAAAUUUCACUGGCAAAUGGAAUUAAUGUACAAACUAACAACGUUGUGUUUAUCCAACCAUCUAUCCUGUACUUACUGAGUUGGGCCUAGCACUGCACUAAAUGGAGAGAUCACAUGGAAGAGAGGAUGCAGCCAGAAACAGCCUGAGUUUUCUGCCCAAUAAGAGAACACUGGAGAAUAGCACAUUAUUCAAAUUCAAACAGAACAAUUCCUUUUGUCAGGGCAGGAAUAGUGCAGAGGAAAUGGAGAUGGCCUGGUCAAGACAGAGGUCUCCUGAGGCAGAGGGAACUUUUUGAAGCUCCUCUUCCUUACCCAAACUGGUGAAAACAGUUUGCAAAAGGUAAUAUGAUCUUUUCUAACUUCCACAUUUCUGGACCCAGCUGAACCCUGGAAAACAAGCAUACCUAAGAAUAGAAAGAAAAGGUACAGGCAAGCAAGGACCCCCAAAGCUUGAAGUAUAAUUAGAGCUGGUGGAGAAUUAACAGGAGAGGAAAGAAGAGGGAACACGAAUGCCCCAGUGUCAUUUCUACAACUACCUGUGUGGGUGUUUGAUGAACAGUGUCAUACAGCAUCUUGGCCUUGAGUCUUCAUUUAUUCACUGGUCUCAAGUUAGAGCAGUUCUGUCCUCUAUGUUGCCAAGGCAUGUGUGAUUUUUGAGUGUUCAUGUGUGCCUGCAUGCAUGAUGUGUUGGGGUGGACAUCUGUGUGCUUGUUAAGGGAAUGAAGGGACAUCUACAGUGCAGGCAGGUAGAGUCUGAAUUGUGUGGAUGUGUAAUAUUGUGUGGAUUCAUGAUGGAAAACACCCUGAUAUUAAAACAAGAACUGGCUUGAAAGCCAGAAGUUUCUGGGACCUUUAGAAAUGUCCAACAGUUUUGUUUCUUUUGGUGCUUCUGUCCAACUGUAUUCCUGAGACAAGUCUUUAAGCAGAGAGAUGGUCUGAGAUAAGAGCUUUUCUGAGCUGCCCAGAGUCGUCCUGGUGAUUAUCAGAGCUACCCACACCAUGGCUGUGGUUAGAUUCCAUAUUUACCUCAAGUGGGAUGGUCUCAUCUAUCCAUGGGUGACCUACUUUCAGGGCAAGGCAGAAAACAAGGGCAUCAGAAGUUGGCUCUCUGAUGGUUAAUUCCUAAGGAAAGAUGCUGCCAAGGGGAGGAACCCUGUGGGCCAUCCCUCCCUGCCCUUUAUUUCUGUCCUACUCAGGAAGUUUCUUAAUACCCCCAGUGUAUGGCUUUUCAUGUCCAUUCUUGGCCUUUGUCUGUGCUAUGCCCUCCACCAGGAAUGUUCUCCUCUGUCCUUCUCUGUCUGUCCAAACCUCUGCAUCCUGCUAGGCUCACACUGCACACUCUCUCCACUUCUGCUCCUGGACUGUCUGUGUGAACCACUCCUCCAGAAUUCUAUUCUGUCUCUAAUUGUUUUCCAUCUGAGUUUUGCCUUUCCAAUUGAGGCACCUCCUCCCCCGCUACACUCCCUGACUUGGGCCGAGCUUUUAAUAAAACCUGCUUCCCUUGAAUUAACUCUGUAGCAGUGCUGUAGUGUUUACAAGAAGCCACUUCCCAUGAAUUACAUAAUUCAAGCUUCACAAUACUCUUUUGAGGAAAGCAAGAAAGAGCUUAUUGUCCCCAUGUUACAGAUAAGAAAGGUGAGUUUCAGAGAGAUUAGUGAUUUAUUCUAAAGUCAUGUAGCCUGGCUAGCAAAUCCAGCCAGCCAAUCCCAAUGCUACUCUUCUCACUAUAGCAGUAGUGAGACAGCCAGGCCUUUCCUAGAUACCACUUACCUCCUCAUCUCAACUAUUUGUUCUCCUCAUAGCUCAGGGCCGUCUAGGUAAUGCGUCUUUCCAGCUGCCUCCUAACUGUCCUGAGUAUCUGAAACCCCAUCCGCAAUGCUAAAUCCUUGGCUCGUAUCUACCCCAGCCAGAUUGGAAAGAGGUUUGGAAAUUCAAUCACUGUUGCUAAAGUUUGAUGAGGGAUUAAAACAGAAGCACUUAAAAGUUGACUUAGAAUGGGUAACAAUCCCUUAAUCUACUCCUUGUCCACCACAAUAGCAGACAUCUGAGGAGAAUGGUCCGUUGGACCUGUGUUGUUUGGUAUGGUGGCCCCUAGCCACGUGCAACCACUGAGCAUUUGAAACAAAGCUCAUCCCAAUUACAAUAUGCUUUAAGUAUAAAUAAACAUGGGAUUUCAAAGAUUUAGCAUGAAGAAAAAGAUGUAAAAUAUCUCAAUAAUUUUUAUAACAUUUUGUUAAAAUUUGGAGAUUUUACAUAUAUUAAAAGUAUAUUAAUAAAAUUAAUUUCACCUGCUGCUUUUUACUUUUUUAAUGUGGAUAUUAAUACAUUUAAAUUAUGUAUGUGGCUCACAUUACAUUUCUAUUGGAGUCUCAGUAUGGACAAUAGGGCUUUUCUAGUACUUCAAAUAACUCCACAUGCAGGUUAUUUGAAGGUAUGCUCAGAUUAUGCUUGAGGUUCCAUUAUCUGCAGCAAUAAGAAUUCAGGACAGAAUUCUUCUAGAAGAUGGUGCUUGAUUACUCCCAAAAGGAGUCACCAGCUGUCAGCUUCUUGGGCCCCCCAGGGUUGAUGGUCUGCCCACCACAGAAACA
RNAcentral lists this long non-coding RNA (3076 nucleotides) under Homo sapiens (human). RNAcentral's name for it is "HSALNT0250070". Lineage: Eukaryota; Metazoa; Chordata; Mammalia; Primates; Hominidae. The record is from RNAcentral.